CAGCACAUCCCAUAGAGUAAGCAACAGCUGGGUGGAGAUUACUUGGAUCAUCAGAGUGAGGACAGCGAGCUGAACCGGUUUCUGUGGCUCGAUCCCAGACAGAAAUUGUUUAUAUGACAGACUUAUAUAUCUAACUGCCAACUGUGGAAACACUGCACACAGCUACUUAAAAGGGUACAGAAAGCACUGGGUCUGGGGGCUGCACCAAUACUACUGUAAGGAAGCUAAGCUGGAAAUGAGGUGGCACCUGCAUGGACAGCAACUGCAAAGAACAUCUCAAGUCUAAAAGGAUGAUCUUUCUGGAGUAAUUUUGAAGAAAUCAAUGACUCCAGACUACUCAUCAGAAGCCAUCCUGAAGUAUGCCCACAGGCUGUUCAUGCUUGUAAAGUAAUCAGUAAGACUCCCUGUGACUCGAGUGUUUGCUUGCCAUGGGUAUCCACUGGUUGCCUUGUCUACCCCAUGAACAAACCAUCAGAUUUCCAGUAUCUCCCUGCGGAAGAACCGUGGAUAAGCAC
Molecule: long non-coding RNA, 515 nt
Organism: Bombina bombina (fire-bellied toad)
Lineage: Eukaryota; Metazoa; Chordata; Amphibia; Anura; Bombinatoridae
Exons: 3
Source: RefSeq, a predicted model, not a curated record